Molecule: ribosomal RNA, 490 nt
Filed under: uncultured bacterium
Lineage: Bacteria
Description: partial 16S ribosomal RNA
Rfam family: Bacterial small subunit ribosomal RNA
Source: RNAcentral
AUGCACGCUAGCUACAGGCUUAACACAUGCAAGUCGAGGGGAAACGACAUCGAAAGCUUGCUUUUGAUGGGCGUCGACCGGCGCACGGGUGAGUAACGCGUAUCCAACCUGCCCAUCACUUGGGAAUAACCUUGCGAAAGUAAGACUAAUACCCAAUGAUAUCCCACGAAGGCAUCGGAAUGGGAUUAAAGAUUUAUCGGUGAUGGAUGGGGAUGCGUCUGAUUAGCUUGUUGGCGGGGUAACGGCCCACCAAGGCAACGAUCAGUAGGGGUUCUGAGAGGAAGGUCCCCCGCAGUGGAACGGGGACACGGUCCAAACUCCAACGGGAGGCAGCAGUGAGGAAGAAUGGUCAAUGGGCGAGAGCCUGAACCAGCCAGGUAGCGUGCAGGAAGACGGGCCUAUGAGUUGUAAACUGCUUUUAUAAGGGAAUAAAGUGGGUGACGUGUGACUUUUUGCAUGUACCGUAGGAAUAAGGACCGGCUAAUUCCGU